This 428-nucleotide ribosomal RNA is filed under the name uncultured bacterium. RNAcentral describes it as "bacterial SSU rRNA". It matches the Rfam family "Bacterial small subunit ribosomal RNA", at positions 29 to 442 of the family's 1533-position model. The record is from RNAcentral.
AGUGAACGCUGGCGGCGUGCCUAACACAUGCAAGUCGAACGCGAAAGUCCCGCAAGGGAUAAGUAGAGUGGCAGACGGGUGAGUAAUGCAUAGGUAAUCUACCCUUGAGUGGGGGAUAACUCCGGGAAACCGGUGCUAAUCCCGCAUAACGUCCUGAUGCACAAGUAUCUGGACCAAAGGGGGGGAUCCUUCGGGACCUCUUGCUUGAGGAUGAGCCUAUGUCCUAUUAGCUAGUUGGUGAGGUAAUGGCCCACCAAGGCGAUGAUGGGUAGCCGAGCUGAGAGGCUGAUCGGCCACACUGGAACUGAAACACGGUCCAGACUCCUACGGGAGGCAGCAGUGGGGAAUUUUGCGCAAUGGGCGAAAGCCUGACGCAGCGACGCCGCGUGAGGGAUGAAGGUUCUCGGAUCGUAAACCUCUGUCAGGAA